GGAGGGCAAGUCUGGUGCCAGCAGCCGCGGUAAUUCCAGCUCUCAAAGUGCAUAGAAUUAUUGCUGCGGUUAAAAAGCUCGUAGUUGGAUCUGUGCCAUAGGACGGGGUCCGCCUUCGGGCGCGCACUCCGCUCCUAGGCUUUUUGCUGGUUUUCCCGUCGUAGCCUUCACUGGUUGCGGCGGGUGGCUGGCGAGUUUACUUUGAGAAAAUCAGAGUGCUCAACACAGGCGUUUCGCUUGAAUGAUUGUGCAUGGAAUAAUAGAAAAGGAUUUCGGUCCUCUUUUAUUGGUUUUGUGGACUGAGAUAAUGGUUAACAGGGACAAACGGGGGCAUUCGUAUCGCUGCGUGAGAGGUGAAAUUCUUGGACCGUAGCGAGACGCCCUACUGCGAAAGCAUUUGCCAAGAAUGUCUUCAUUAAUCAAGAACGAAAGUCAGAGGUUCGAAGGCGAUCAAAUACCGCCCUAGUUCUGACCGUAAA
This 479-nucleotide ribosomal RNA is filed under the name Acrobeloides sp. 3 MK-2017. Its description in RNAcentral is "SSU rRNA". It matches the Rfam family "Eukaryotic small subunit ribosomal RNA", at positions 550 to 1036 of the family's 1831-position model. Lineage: Eukaryota; Metazoa; Nematoda; Chromadorea; Rhabditida; Cephalobidae. The record is from RNAcentral.